Molecule: transfer RNA, 74 nt
Filed under: Pteropus alecto (black flying fox)
Lineage: Eukaryota; Metazoa; Chordata; Mammalia; Chiroptera; Pteropodidae
Rfam family: tRNA
About the family: Transfer RNA (tRNA) molecules are approximately 80 nucleotides in length.
Source: Rfam by way of RNAcentral
GGCUCCAUAGUGUAGUGGUUAGCACAUCUGGUUUACAUGCAGAAGGUCCCUAGUUAGUGCCCCAGGUGAAGCCA